GGUGAGAUCACAUAGCCUGGUAGUGCGCCUGCUUUGAAAGGCAGGUGGCUUCACAGCCUCCGGGGUUCAAAUCCCCCAGUCUCACCG
RNAcentral lists this transfer RNA (87 nucleotides) under Halobacterium salinarum. RNAcentral describes it as "tRNA-Ser". Lineage: Archaea; Methanobacteriati; Methanobacteriota; Halobacteria; Halobacteriales; Halobacteriaceae. The record is from RNAcentral.